GUGAGAGAGUACAGACAGACAAUUUGCGACCUGGACUGCUUCUCCGACUGUGACUCUCUCCCUCUCUCUCAAUAGAUAAAAUUCCCAGAUAUUAUUGUGCAUUGAAUUGUGCCUUUCCUCUUCUUACUCUUCACCCCCCAAAGAUCUAGACCGAGAUCAUUUGCUGUAAACAGAUGGACCGAAGACGAACCGAGACUCUUCAGAGUCAACUCUACGUUCGCCAGUGGAGCAGCGAAUCUAGCGCCACCGCCGCUUCCUCCUCUCCGGCAAUGUCGCCGUCGCAUCACCACCACUCUCGCUCUUCUUCCGCCACCGGCAUUUCCACCUUCAAGCGCAAUCAGACCUUCGCCGCCAAAGCCGCCUCCGUCAGGCUCGCUCAGGUCAUGGCUUCUCAAACGGCUAACAACAGCGAUGAAGAUGAAGAUGACGACGAUGACAACUACAAUAUCAUCGACCGUAACUAUAAUUCUUCGAUUCUGUCUGCUAGAUCUUCCUCCCUUGCGUUAGCACAGAACUUUGUAGAGGAAAAUCCUUCAUUCCACUCAACAUCAGCUGGAAGGCCAUUAAUGUUUAUUCCUACAACUUCUGCAGUACCACCUAGUAGAACAUCAGUGAAGACUCCAAUGCCUGUACCACCAAUUGAUCCUCCUACUUAUAGGAUAAAAGAGACAAGAUUCUCAUCAGAUAUGGGGCAAAUGUACUUGAAAGAUACAGGGGAUCAACGGGAAGCUUCUACCCUUCGUGAUGAACUUGAUAUGCUGCAAGAAGAAAAUGAGAAUAUUAUUGAAAAGCUCAGGAUUGCAGAACAGGGGUACGAGGAAGCAGAAGCUAGAGCUAGGGAGAUUGAGAAACAGGUAGCUUCUCUUGGACAAGGAGUAUCUUUAGAAGCAAAAUUGUUGAAUAGAAAGGAAGCUGCAUUCCGUCAAAGAGAGGCUGCUGCACUUAGAGAUGUAAAACAAACAAGAGACGGGGUAGAUGAGGAAAUUGCCUCCCUCCGCUUAGACCUUGAGAAAGUGAAAACUGAGGCUGCAGCUGCUGUAGACCAGCUUCAGGGAACUGAAGCUGAAGUUAGAGCUCUUCGCUCUAUGACACAAAGGAUGGUUUUAACCCAGGGUGAAAUGGAGGAAAUUGUUCUUAAGCGAUGUUGGCUUGCACGCUAUUGGGGUUUAGCUGCACGACAUGGCAUCUGUGCAGAUAUUGCAGCAUCAAAGCAUGAGUACUGGUCAUCUUUAGCACCUCUUCCUUUGGAAGUUGUCCUUUCUGCGGGACAAAUGGCUAAAGAGGAAUGCUUGGAGAAAGGUGAUGAAAAUCCUGAGAGGAGCAAACUCAUUCAGGACUUGAAUGAUCUAACUGGAGAAGGAAUUAUUGAGAGUAUGCUUUCAGUUGAAAUGGGCUUGAAGGAGCUUGCAUCCUUGAAGGUUGAGGAUGCUACUGUGCUUGUAUUGGAACAACAAUGGCGUGCAAACGCAGUUCGAUCAUCAGUUUCAGAUAUCAAGACACCUGGUGAUCCGAAGUUUAUGGAUGCAUUUGGGGGAGCUGGUUAUAACUUUGAGGUCUUUGUUCACCUGCAGAACUGAGUCCAGAAGAUUCCGAGGAUGUUCUUUUCAAGGAGGUCUGGGAUUUCUCUCUUAUUUGCCAUUAUUUCCACCUGAGUCACGCUAAUUAAUAUGUUCACACUACUACAAUGGCUUACUGAAGUUGCAUAUUUUAUGGGGUCACAAUCUACUGUUAUUUUAUUUAGUGAAUUCAUUUUCUUUAUUUUGGUGUAUAGAAACAAUUUCAUUUUUUUUCCCAAUUAUGAAUGGCAGAAGUAAUUUUAAUCUCAACUGGGAAUCCCAAAGAGUAAAUUUCUGAAACUGAAGUUGCGAGUUCCAUCCAGCACCAGCCUUGUCAAGGAUUUGGAAAUUCAGCAUGCCUUGUCAUGAAGAGAUGUGUUACAUAUGCAGAUUUCUUUUUUCUUUUCAUCUCUAUUUGCAUCCCUUGCCUCCAUAGAAUUUCGUGCAAGAGUUAAAACUUCAUGGUUUAGAAUUCUUGGUCAAACAAUGACCUCAAUUAAGUUUUAUGCACAAUUUCAUUUUUACUAUAUUAUUUCUGUGCAAUCUUUUCUUAGUUUAAACUUGAUGGCUAAUCCUGAUGGCAUUUUUUGUUUUGUUAAUUUCACUUUUAACUUGCACAGGCAUGGCUUAUGUAUUUUUGGAGAAGAGCUGAAGUCCAUGGUAUAGAAGAGGAGAUUGCCAAAGAACGACUUCAAUUUUGGAUUAGCUGUAGCGGGCACUCACCAACCUCACAUGAUGCUGUUGAUGUUGAGCAAGGUUUGAUGGAGCUGA
Non-coding RNA from Camellia sinensis, 2327 nucleotides. The record is from RefSeq and is a predicted model, not a curated record. NCBI's taxonomy places the organism in Eukaryota, Viridiplantae, Streptophyta, Magnoliopsida, Ericales, Theaceae.